UAGGGAAUCUUCGGCAAUGGGGGCAACCCUGACCGAGCAACGCCGCGUGAGUGAAGAAGGUUUUCGGAUCGUAAAGCUCUGUUGUAAGAGAAGAACGUGUGUGAGAGUGGAAAGUUCACACAGUGACGGUAACUUACCAGAAAGGGACGGCUAACUACGUGCCAGCAGCCGCGGUAAUACGUAGGUCCCGAGCGUUGUCCGGAUUUAUUGGUCGUAAAGCGAGCGCAGGAGGUUUAAUAAGUCUGAAGUUAAAGGCAGUGGCUUAACCAUUGUUCGCUUUGGAAACUGUUAAACUUGAGUGCAGAAGGUGAGAGUGGAAUUCCAUGUGUAGCGGUGAAAUGCGUAGAUAUAUGGAGGAACACCGGUGGCGAAAGCGGCUCUCUGGUCUGUAACUGACGCUGAGGCUCGAAAGCGUGGGGAGCAAACAGG
This 429-nucleotide ribosomal RNA is filed under the name bacterium. Its description in RNAcentral is "partial 16S ribosomal RNA". It matches the Rfam family "Bacterial small subunit ribosomal RNA", at positions 355 to 776 of the family's 1533-position model. The record is from RNAcentral.